RNAcentral lists this ribosomal RNA (500 nucleotides) under uncultured bacterium. RNAcentral describes it as "partial 16S ribosomal RNA". It matches the Rfam family "Bacterial small subunit ribosomal RNA", at positions 899 to 1397 of the family's 1533-position model. The record is from RNAcentral.
ACUCAAAUGAAUAGACGGGGGCCCGCACAAGCGGUGGAGCAUGUGGAUUAAUUCGUCACUAACCGAAGAACCUUACCCAGGCUUGACAUCGCGUGUAACUCUGUGAAAGCAGAGCCCUUCCGCAAGGAAGCACAAAGACAGGUGUUGCAUGGCUGUCGUCAGCUCGUGUCGUGAGAUGUUGGGUUAAGUCCCGCAACGAGCGCAACCCUCACCGUAUGUUGCCAGCGUAAAGUCGGGAACUCUUACGGAACUGCCCGUGCAAGCGGGAGGAAGGUGGGGAUGACGUCAAGUCGGCAUGGCCCUUACGCCUGGGGCUUCACACAUGCUACAAUGGGCAGCAACAGACGGCUCCGAGACCGCGAGGUGGAGGGAAUCCGAGAAAUCUGUCCUCAGUUCGGAUUGCAGGCUGCAACUCGCCUGCAUGAAGCUGGAAUCGCUAGUAACCGCAGGUCAGCUAAACUGCGGUGAAUACGUUCCCGGGCCUUGUACACACCGCCCGU